RNAcentral lists this ribosomal RNA (500 nucleotides) under uncultured bacterium. RNAcentral's name for it is "partial 16S ribosomal RNA". It matches the Rfam family "Bacterial small subunit ribosomal RNA", at positions 30 to 523 of the family's 1533-position model. The record is from RNAcentral.
AUUGAACGCUGGCGGAAUGCUUUACACAUGCAAGUCGAACGGCAGCACGGACUUCGGUCUGGUGGCGAGUGGCGAACGGGUGAGUAAUGUAUCGGAACGUGCCCAGUCGUGGGGGAUAACGUAGUGAAAAUUACGCUAAUACCGCAUACGAUCUAUGGAUGAAAGCGGGGGAUCGCAAGACCUUGCGCGAUUGGAGCGGCCGAUAUCAGAUUAGGUAGUUGGUGGGGUAAAGGCCCACCAAGCCAACGAUCUGUAGCUGGUCUGAGAGGACGCCCAGCCACACUGGAACUGGGACACGGUCAAGACUCCUCCGGGAGGCAGCAGUGGGGAAUUUUGGACAAUGGGCGAAAGCCUGAUCCAGCCAUUCCGCUUGCAGGAGAAAGGCCCUCGGGUUGUAAACUGCUUUUGUACAGAACGAAAAGGUUUCUACUAAUACUAGGAGCUCAUGACGGUACUGUAAGAAUAAGCACCGGCUAACUACGUGCCAGCCGCCGCCGUAA